UUCUUAUCUAGAGAAACUGAGGGACUGGCCCAAUGAAGUUUCAGCAACCAGUGUGUUUCAUUCGCAUGCAUGGUGCU
This 77-nucleotide non-coding RNA is filed under the name Clostridium acidisoli. Its description in RNAcentral is "SAM-I sequence". It matches the Rfam family "SAM riboswitch aptamer (S box leader)", at positions 1 to 72 of the family's 108-position model. Rfam says of the family: The SAM riboswitch is found upstream of a number of genes which code for proteins involved in methionine or cysteine biosynthesis in Gram-positive bacteria. The SAM riboswitch acts at the level of transcription termination control. The record is from RNAcentral. Lineage: Bacteria; Bacillati; Bacillota; Clostridia; Eubacteriales; Clostridiaceae. RNAcentral also lists the same sequence under 1 other name.